RNAcentral lists this ribosomal RNA (468 nucleotides) under uncultured bacterium. RNAcentral's name for it is "partial 16S ribosomal RNA". It matches the Rfam family "Bacterial small subunit ribosomal RNA", at positions 28 to 507 of the family's 1533-position model. The record is from RNAcentral.
GAUGAACGCUGGCGGCGUGCUUAACACAUGCGAGUCGAACGGAAAGGCCAUGCGCUUGCGGGGUGCUCGAGUGGCGAACGGGUGAGUAACACGUGAGUAACACCCCCCUGACUGAGGGAUAACUCCAGGAAACUGGGGCUAAUACCGGAUAGGAGAUACUGCUGCACGGUGGGGGUUGGAGAGAUUCGGCGGUUGGGGCUGGUCUCGCGGCUUAUCAGCUGGUUGGUGGGGUAGUGGCUGACCAAGGCUUUGACGGAUAGCCGGCCUGAGAGGGUGGCCAGCGUCCUUGGGACUACGAUAGGGACCAGACGCCUACGGUAGGCAGCGGUGGAGAAUAUUACGCAAUGGGCGGGAGCCUGAGACAGCGACGCCGCGUGCGGAAUGACGUCCUUCGGGUGGUAAACCGCUUUCUCCUUUGACGAGGCGUUAGUGACGGUAAUGAGUAAAAAAGCACCGGCUAACUACGUG